Molecule: long non-coding RNA, 3079 nt
Filed under: Apteryx rowi (Okarito brown kiwi)
Lineage: Eukaryota; Metazoa; Chordata; Aves; Apterygiformes; Apterygidae
Description: lncRNA (ENSARWG00000005792.1)
Source: RNAcentral
AUGGAAAGGGUGCUAAAUUUCCGCCACUCUGCCUUGCAGGCAAAGGGAAGGAAAGGAGAAGAGCGAGGAGAGAUGCAAGAUAUCCUUGGGGCAGAGGGAAGGAGUCUCAGUAUUAUCCCGCUAUUCAGAUGGCCACCUUCUGUUUUGGACCACCGCCAGGCAGAGAAUAGGUGCCUGAUCCCAACCUGCAGCCUGCCCAGGCUAGCGCUGCCCUGCGCUCUCCACCUCGCUUGUGCAGUUGACCCUGCUCUGCAGCAGAACAGAUGUUUGACACCUGAUCUCAAAGUAGGACUCGUGCUUGUUUCUAGGACCUGUUUCUCAUUGCGUUCUCUGACAAUCCCGAAGAUGGUGACUGAAAGGGCAUAUGCCAGGGGCCUGAUCCAGAAUGCCGUGCCCCCAACUAGCAGCACUACAGCUCCGCUUGCCUCUUCAACCCAGUGUAUGUUCAGAGACCACCUCUCCUCCAUGAUCUUGGACGCCUCAGGUGGAGGAACAUGCUUGGAGCUGUUCCCAUGGUGCAACAUUCAGCCCAAAAUGAACACCCUGAACUUCACAUCUGUUAAUAAUUUGUGCGCAUUGAGCCUUCCAGUGCUAGUUUUGUACCCCAUGUGGCUUGUUUGACUUGGAGGAUGACAGUGUCUCUCCUAAAGGGAAGUUCAGUAACACAGUCAAAAAGGUGCCUUACUCUGUCUCAGCUCCUGCCCUAGCUGUCUCUUCUCCAUCUCUGGGGCAGAGUGGGGAUGUUUUGACCCUUCCUCUCUUGCUUUCGCUGCCAGCCAGCUUGGGUAACAAUGCCCAUGGGACUUGCAGAGGGCCUGUAGUGGUUUCACAUGGUCUAUUCUCCAUCUGUCUGCAAACUCCCAAGGCCCAACUGAUGCUGGGCUCCAUGAGACGAGCUUCUCUUUCCCUGACAUGUGGCAGCUAUUCCUCACUUGGUUGUUAGCCUGCACUGUAGCUAGUUGCUGUUCCCUGCCGCAGGCACCCUACAGCUGCUGCAGUCCAGCACUUGAGCUCUUGCAAAGAGCUUGAAGUGCAGCUUGGAGACAGGUUACUGUAGCAAGAGUGCAGGGUGCCUCUUGGAGUGUCGUGCAGGCAGCUCCCAAUGAGCAUCUUUCUCUUUUCUCGCAGAUCCUGUUAGUCAGCAUGCUGUCUCCUCAAGGUGCUCAACCCAUAGCCUGUGGUUGCUUGUGGCUCCCUGAUUUCUCUCUUUGCAGUUGGUUAUUUGAACUCAACCAUGGCAAGAGCUCAGGAACAGCAACUGACCUGCCACAGCAAGCGGCCAGCUAAAGAGGCCAGUUGUCUCUCCUGGUCUCAAGCUUGUGGUCAGGGGGUGUGCAUGCUCCCUCCUGCUGUGAGGAGGGAGGAUGAGAGGAAAAAGUACUGCUGUUACCAGCUUCAGUGAAAGGCAGGAGGAAAGGUAUCUCCAGCAUGUGGUGCACACAUCCAGCACACAGAGGGAUUGCGGAGCAGCCCUGCGCCUUGUAGAUUCAAACCAAGGGGAGUGCAGAGCCCCUCAGCUGGGCUCUUGCAGGAGGAACUCAUGUUUUCACUUGCGAAAAGGAUGCUCUCCUGGGUUUGAGCAGUAGUCAAAGGAUCCUGAUGUCCUGGGGUUGUCAAGUGCCCUGAGGCCUCCCCACAGAGACAGGGAAGCAGGUGUAAGGUGUCUGUAUGUUGCAUUUGAAAGAUCAGAUCAGCCAGCAGUAAGGGCAGAGCUGAAACCCAUGGCUGAUGGCAAGAGAGGGGGAGCUGCUUGGAUGCCUGUGCUGUUAAACCCAUCAGUGUGGUUUUCAGGGAAGGAUACCAGGCUAGGCAGCAUGUUUCAUAGCUGUGGUACUUGAAGUGUCUCCUGGAAGUGUUGUUUGAUUAGCAAGAUUCCCUUUCCUCCGUGGGAAAGGCUUUGAGGAGUUGGUGGAGUUGUGUGUCUUUGACCCUCCAGCACCUCGAUGUUGCUGGCUUGCAGCAAUAGCUUCAAAGCAGAAACACAGUUACAGCCAUUUGGGUUGAAUUUUGAGACCAACCACAGGCUUUUUGAAAACAGAAACACCCCUGGAGAGGGGAUAGACCUGUUUCCAUGUGAUACAUGCUGUAUUGUGAUCUUGGGGCCUGGCAAGCAGCCCUGGUCCUCAGCUCAAGGUGAGAGGUGUCUUGCACAGGCUGGUGAAGGCAAUGCUUGUGUGGCACAGGCCUCAGCAGAGCCACAGCGUUGUGGAAGGGCAGCCUCCAUCUUGCAGAAGAGGGACCUGGACUAGGUGCUAGCAAGUGCCAGCAUCAGUCCAUGGGGAUUAGGCUGUGUGCAGGGGGACAGGGUAGGUGAUGCCAGCCUAGAGGUGCCAAGAAACCAGGGCAUAAGGGAAACCCCUAGAAGCAGUAAGAGGACAGCUUACAGCUUGCCUGCAGCAAUCGAAGCAAGAUCCCCAUGCAGGGAGAAGGGAAGCCUGCCAGGCCAGCAUAGGAAGGGCUGAUUCCCUUUGGAUCUGAGCCUCAGCUGCAGACAGCUGUGCAGGGAUGUCUCCUGCCCCUGCAGCCGUCCAUGUGGAUGUAUUUGCUAUUAGUGGCUGUCACUCUUUAGCUAAAUGUCAUUCUCCCCUGGCUGCAUAUGUACCUUCCACCUCCAUUUCCUGCCUGAGUGGUCUUAGGGAUGUCCCUGGGAUGCUCCUGUGGCUUGAAGUCCUGCAGUGAGGUUUGCAAGAUGCCCAGUGCCUUGUGCAGAAAGCUCCUCCAUCCUACUUUGCUCCUCCAGCCAUCACCCUGAGGACAGCACUUCAGAAGCCCGAGUACAUGUGAAAGAUUCAGACAGCUGGAUGACCAUGUGUUUCUUAACACCUUCAACUGGGGGUUUCUUCUUUCCAAGCUUGGAGUCAGGAGCUGUAGCUCAGGCUGGGAAUGUGGACGCAACUGAAAUCUGGCUUUGAACUGUUUUCUCUCUGUUCAAAAGGCCUGCGCUCUCUUUUUUUAAAGGGGUUUGCCACUGGAUCAGCACCUUCUUUAAGGAAACACGAUACAUAUGUUCAAGUUUACAUGCACAGUGUUACAUUCUUUUGAUAAAAUAGAAUAAAAUUAUUUUGAUACCAUUUCCUCA